GAUGAACGCUGGCGGCGUGCUUAACACAUGCAAGUCGAACGAUGAAGCCCAGCUUGUUGGGUGGAUUAGUGGCGAACGGGUGAGUAACACGUGAGUAACCUGCCCUUGACUCUGGGAUAAGCCUGGGAAACUGGGUCUAAUACUGGAUAUGACUUCUCAUCGCAUGGUGGGGGGUGGAAAGAUUUAUUGGUCUUGGAUGGACUCGCGGCCUAUCAGCUUGUUGGUGGGGUAAUGGCUCACCAAGGCGACGACGGGUAGCCGGCCUGAGAGGGUGACCGGCCACACUGGGACUGAGACACGGCCCAGACUCCUACGGGAGGCAGCAGUGGGGAAUAUUGCACAAUGGGCGCAAGCCUGAUGCAGCAACGCCGCGUGAGGGAUGACGGCCUUCGGGUUGUAAACCUCUUUCAGUAGGGAAGAAGCGUGAGUGACGGUACCUGCAGAAGAAGCGCCGGCUAACUACGUG
Molecule: ribosomal RNA, 466 nt
Filed under: uncultured bacterium
Lineage: Bacteria
Description: partial 16S ribosomal RNA
Rfam family: Bacterial small subunit ribosomal RNA
Source: RNAcentral